CCUACGGGAGGCAGCAGUAGGGAAUUUUGCGCAAUGGGCGAAAGCCUGACGCAGCAACGCCGCGUGAUCGAGACGCCCUUCGGGGUGUGAAGAUCUGUCUGUGGGGACGAAACUUGACGUCACGCACAGCGGCAGCACCGGCUAACUCCGUGACAGCAGCCGCGGUAAUCCGGGGGGUGCAAGCGUUGUCCGGAAUCAUUGGGCGUAAAGAGUUCGUAGGCGGCAUGCAAAGUCUGGUGUUAAAGGCAGAGGCUCAACUUCUGUACGGCACUGGAUACUUGCGAGCUAGAAUGCGGUAGAGGUAAGGGGAAUGCGUGGUGUAGCGGUGAAAUGCUUAGAUAUCAGGAGGAACAUCGAUUGCGUAGGCGCUUUACUGGGCCGUAACUGACGCUGAGGAACGAAAGCGAGGGUAGCGAAUGGGAUUAGAUACCCGAGUAGUC
RNAcentral lists this ribosomal RNA (440 nucleotides) under uncultured bacterium. RNAcentral's name for it is "partial 16S ribosomal RNA". It matches the Rfam family "Bacterial small subunit ribosomal RNA", at positions 338 to 795 of the family's 1533-position model. The record is from RNAcentral.